UACGUAGGGGGCAAGCGUUGUCCGGAAUCAUUGGGCGUAAGAGCGUGUAGGCGGCCCGGUAAGUCCGCUGUGAAAGUCCAGGGCUCAACCCUGGAAUGCCGGUGGAAACUGUCGGGCUAGAGUCCGGAAGAGGCGAGUGGAAUUCCUGGUGUAGCGGUGGAAUGCGCAGAUAUCAGGAGGAACACCGGUGGCGAAGGCGGGUCUCUGGGCAGUGAACUGACGCUGAGGAGCGAAAGCGUGGGGAGCGAACAGG
Molecule: ribosomal RNA, 253 nt
Filed under: uncultured bacterium
Lineage: Bacteria
Description: partial 16S ribosomal RNA
Rfam family: Bacterial small subunit ribosomal RNA
Source: RNAcentral